AUGGGCAAAGCAUUUUUAGCCAAUAGUGUUGGAGUGAUAAAUAUGUGUGGGACAUAUUUGAAGAAAGCUAAGGGUAAACACAACUUGGGCGAUAGCAACUUAUCAGAGGAAAUGAAGGAAUCCGGUGAGCAUAUCAAGGGGAAACAACAAGAUAAUUUUGUGGGGACAACAAAGAAUGAUCAUAAGAGGGAUUGGAAAACUCUAGCCAUGGCUACCAAGGAUGUACCCGUGGAGGUGGAAGUUAUUGAAACAAAAUCCAAUAAUUUAGGCAACAAAAGGAGGAACAAUGGAAACAGAACUCGACAAGAUAACGGUGGAAAUAAAACAAAGAGGGAAGCAAUGGGUAAAAACACCUUGGUCGAUAGCAACUUACCAGAGGAAACAAAGGAAUCGAGUGGGCUUAUGAAGGAAUUGCAAGCUCUGGCCCUGCCUACCAAGGAUAUACUUGAGGAAGUGGAAGUUGUUGAAACAAAAUCCAAUAAUUUUGUCAACAAGAUAACGAGGGGACAAAAUGGAGCAAUUUUAAUUUCUAUUAAUGCCAUAUGGUUCGGCCAAGGUUUGUUUACCCCCUCCCUCAGAGAUUGUGUUACCUUUACAGUCCUAUUGAUCUGGACCCCGUCCCAAGUUCUAUGGAUUUUCUGCCGGAUAGCACAAAAUACUGCUGACCAAGAUGCAUUGGGAGAUGAGGUGUACAUGUGUGACCAGUAUGUAGCAAACAUGGAUUCUGAAACGGCGGAAAACACAUCUGAUUCCGUGUGGGCAGACAUCAGCGGGUACUCAUCUUGUUCUGGGCCUAGCAAAAGGUAAUAAAUCAGCA
Molecule: long non-coding RNA, 817 nt
Filed under: Oryza sativa Indica Group (long-grained rice)
Lineage: Eukaryota; Viridiplantae; Streptophyta; Magnoliopsida; Poales; Poaceae
Description: lncRNA OsZS97_09G003680
Source: RNAcentral